RNAcentral lists this long non-coding RNA (726 nucleotides) under Homo sapiens (human). RNAcentral's name for it is "HSALNT0219967". Lineage: Eukaryota; Metazoa; Chordata; Mammalia; Primates; Hominidae. The record is from RNAcentral.
GAUCCAUAGAACAAAAAGUGCCUGAACGGACAAGGCCUCUGGAAUAUUGCAGAAAACUGUGGAUCUUCAGGAGAGUAAGACCUGGACUUUGCUGAAACUUCUGAGCUCUGCUUCAGUCUCCUAGGCGCAAAGACCUGGUCUCUAUGAAGCUCAGUGUCUGUGAGACGCUACCAUCAUGGCAGCCCCCGUUCAUGUUUCUCUUGCUGACCUAUCCUCUGCAGGGGAAGCCAAGUCUGCUAACGGGGUGGUGCCGUGCGGACACUCAAUGUUGCAGUUAAACCACAUCCCUUAAGAAGGAAACCUAAGGUGGCUGCUCAUUUGAGGUUCUCCAGUGGCCACACCAAUGAUAUGAGUGUGAGUCCACAUGCAGGACGAUUUAAUGGCUGUGCAGUCAUGCUCAAAAGGUAAGCACAGAAGGCGGAGAAGGACAGCCUGCCCUUGAAAUGAAACCUCUUGUUCCCUUUGUAUCCAGGAGGAAAAUCUCAUUAGAAAGAUCCUCCAGAGCCACAAAAAUAAGCACAUGCGUCAAAAGGAGGGCAGAAAGCCCAGGACACGAGGCGGGGGGGCGCUGAGAUAAAAAGAUUAUAGCUAGAAAACAGCCAAUCCCACCAUCAUAGCUGCUGCCUCAUCCCUUCCACACUUUCCAGACCCCCAAACUUGGCGGAAUAACAGGGUCUGCUGUGGGAGACUAAGAGGCGGCCAGCCCAGGGCUCAGUGCACUGCCGC